RNAcentral lists this long non-coding RNA (718 nucleotides) under Gossypium barbadense (sea-island cotton). RNAcentral's name for it is "long non-coding RNA (GBAR_LNC019828)". Lineage: Eukaryota; Viridiplantae; Streptophyta; Magnoliopsida; Malvales; Malvaceae. The record is from RNAcentral.
ACAGACUACAAAGAUUAAAUUUGAUGUAGCUUACUACCAGGAAGAGAACAAAUCAAGUUCAGGCAUUAUCAUCAGAGACACAACUGGUGAAGUUCUACAUUCAAAAGUUCCAUUGCAUGUAAACAUACCGACUUCCUUUGCAGCCGAAGCUGUGGCGUGUAUGAAGGCAGUGGAAUUGGGAUAGUAUGUGGGUCUUUUAGUGGUGGAGGUUGAAAGUGAUGCUUUAACGGUGAUUAGAAAGAUGCAAAAAGACAUAAAUGAUAGAUCAAAAAUCGGGGCUUAAAUUUUCAAUAUCAGAUCUAUGAGCAAAAGAUUCGAAAAAUGUACCUUUAAACAUGCAUUAAGACAGGAGAAUAAAGCAACCCAUGUUAUGGCUAUAGAAGGUCUCAAAAGACAAGAAGAAUUUUACCUGAGAAAUGUAGUUCCUGAUUAUGCAGAACAAUCUGUGGUAUUUGAUAAACAAUGGUUAGGGCUUUCAGCGAAUAGAUGAUCAAUGACCUGAUUCAAAGGAGUUUCUGGAAAGACACACAAAGCUAUCAAACUGGAAAACGGGGGUUCUUGAGAACUUGCUGCUUCAGAUCCUUGGAUAAGAAGAGUGUCGAUUCAUGUGACUGGAUUCCUUUUCUGAUUAGGGUUUUAUUUAUGAUUUUUUUUGUUUUUUUACUUCAUUUAUUUGGUUGUCAUUCGGCUUUUUUGUUUUAGUCGUUUCUUUCUGUUU